UACGUAGGGGGCAAGCGUUGUCCGGAUUUAUUGGGCGUAAAGAGCGUGUAGGCGGCCUGACAGGUCUGCUGUGAAAACUCGAGGCUCAACCUCGAGAUGUCGGCGGAAACCGUCUGGCUAGAGUCCGGAAGAGGAGAGUGGAAUUCCUGGUGUAGCGGUGAAAUGCGCAGAUAUCAGGAAGAACACCUAUGGCGAAGGCAGCUCUCUGGGACGGUACUGACGCUGAGACGCGAAAGCCAGGGGAGCAAACGGG
Molecule: ribosomal RNA, 253 nt
Filed under: uncultured bacterium
Lineage: Bacteria
Description: partial 16S ribosomal RNA
Rfam family: Bacterial small subunit ribosomal RNA
Source: RNAcentral